This 232-nucleotide long non-coding RNA is filed under the name Vigna radiata. Its description in RNAcentral is "long non-coding RNA (VRAD_LNC001280)". The record is from RNAcentral. Lineage: Eukaryota; Viridiplantae; Streptophyta; Magnoliopsida; Fabales; Fabaceae.
UAAAAAAAAUUAAAUAAUCUCAUAUUUGCAUCCAAUAACUAGAUAUUUUAUAAAUUUAAUAAGAGAAACAGAACUUUUGAAUUAAUAUACAUAUAUGCAAUAUAUAAUAAAUACACACAAAUAUGUAUUUAGAAAAGUGAAUUCAAAUUACUAACACAAUUAAAGUACAAAGUAUAAAUUGAGAUAAAAGAUUGAAAUUACAAUUUCUGGUGUAGUUUUACACUUCAUGCUU